UACCCUAAUUGUAUUGGAUUUCUAACCCGCAGCACUUAUCGUGCUGGGAGACAGUGUCAGGCGGGCAGUUUGACUGGGGCGGUCGCCUCCUAAAGAGUAACGGAGGCGCUCAAAGGUUCCCUCAGAAUGGUUGGAAAUCAUUCAUAGAGUGUAAAGGCAUAAGGGAGCUUGACUGCGAGACCUACAAGUCGAGCAGGGUCGAAAGACGGACUUAGUGAUCCGGUGGUUCCGCAUGGAAGGGCCAUCGCUCAACGGAUAAAAGCUACCCCGGGGAUAACAGGCUUAUCUCCCCCAAGAGUUCACAUCGACGGGGAGGUUUGGCACCUCGAUGUCGGCUCAUCGCAUCCUGGGGCUGUAGUCGGUCCCAAGGGUUGGGCUGUUCGCCCAUUAAAGCGGUACGCGAGCUGGGUUCAGAACGUCGUGAGACAGUUCGGUCCCUAUCCGUCGUGGGCGUAGGAAAUUUGAGAGGAGCUGUCCUUAGUACGAGAGGACCGGGAUGGACAUACCUCUGGUGUACCAGUUGUCGUGCCAACGGCAUAGCUGGGUAGCUAUGUAUGGACGGGAUAAGUGCUGAAAGCAUCUAAGCAUGAAGCCCCCCUCGAGAUGAGAUUUCCCAACUUCGGUUAUAAG
RNAcentral lists this ribosomal RNA (630 nucleotides) under Staphylococcus pseudintermedius. RNAcentral describes it as "partial 23S ribosomal RNA". It matches the Rfam family "Bacterial large subunit ribosomal RNA", at positions 2201 to 2832 of the family's 2925-position model. The record is from RNAcentral. Lineage: Bacteria; Bacillati; Bacillota; Bacilli; Caryophanales; Staphylococcaceae.